Molecule: ribosomal RNA, 1212 nt
Filed under: Triticum aestivum (bread wheat)
Lineage: Eukaryota; Viridiplantae; Streptophyta; Magnoliopsida; Poales; Poaceae
Description: partial small subunit ribosomal RNA
Source: RNAcentral
AUGGCAGCCGCGGACUGGUCCUCGCUCCCGUGCGACCUCGUCCGCCGCAUCGCCGACUGCUUCCUCGCCGCCAACGACGUGGACUACUACAUGGACCUCCGAGCCGUCUGCGGCAGCUGGCGCUCCGCCACCGACGACCCCAAGGACAGCCCGGACGACCCUCGCUUCCGUCCCCGGCAGUGGGUCGUGCUCGACGACGACGUCUUCCGGAGAGAGCACACGCGCCUCCUGGUGAACACCCACACUGGCCGCUCCCCCCGCAAGGAGCUCCCUCUGCUCGGCGGCCACCGCUACCGGCACGUCGCCACCACUCCCGGUGGAUUCUUCGUGCUGGCGGACUACGACGACUACGACGCCGCUCGCGUCCUCAACCCUUUCACAGGCCACAUGAUCCAUUUCAGGGCGACCGUGCCCUCUGACACGGUGGAUGUCGCCGCUGUCAUCGGGUCAGCCCCCACCCUCGUCUUGCUCUGCGACUCGGAUCGUAAGCGGUACGUGGCUGGCUCCGACAGUAGAAGUUUUGCCGUGUACCAAGAGGAGGACGCCUACCCGCUGAUCCGGCUGGCAGUCGCCGGCGGCAUGUAUGCUGACGGCGAGCAGAGACCGCUGCCGCCGCUGCCAGCUGCUGUGGCCGGCGAGGUCUUUCAUCUGAUGAGGGUGUUCUCCGUUGAGCCGUCCGAGAUGUUCUGGUCUGAUGUUGUCGAGCAUGUUGUCGACGAUGCUCCUGCUCCUGAGAUUGAGCAUGCAAACAACAACCGCUGCUACCUGGUUUUCAGGAUGGACGACUCUAACCGGGGUGUGCUCGAGCCCGUGAAGAGCAUCGGUCGCCACGCCAUCUUCGUCGGCUGCUGCAGGUGCCUGGCUGUUGAUGCCGAUAAGUUCCCAUCUGUUGAGGCCAAUUGCAUCUACCACCUAGUAGGUAUGAAUCCAUACGGUGAUUUCUACUUCCAUGACGUCUACAAGUUUGACCUCGAGGACGGGACAGAAGAGAUGGUCGCUGAAGCCAUAAGUUGGUCAGACCCCAUCACACGGAGGGAUGCUGACCCUCCUUUCACAGCCGUUCAGCUCCUCUCCAGCUACACCAUCAACGUCCGGGGUUCUGAACUUGUGAUUCCGGAAACGUGUCGAGUAGAUAUUGAUCAGUUGGUGGAGGAGUUCUUCUCAACUGAGGAUAAGGAAUUCUUCGCAAUGUUUCCUCUGCAGUUAGGUUAA